This 451-nucleotide ribosomal RNA is filed under the name uncultured bacterium. RNAcentral describes it as "bacterial SSU rRNA". It matches the Rfam family "Bacterial small subunit ribosomal RNA", at positions 8 to 507 of the family's 1533-position model. The record is from RNAcentral.
AGAGUUUGAUCAUGGCUCAGAGCGAACGCUGGCGGCAGGCCUAACACAUGCAAGUCGAGCGCCCAGCAAUGGGAGCGGCAGACGGGAGAGUAACACGUGGGAACGUGCCCUUCAGUUCGGAACAACCAAGGGAAACUUUGGCUAAUACCGGAUACGUCCGAAAGGAGAAAGAUUUAUCGCUGAAGGAGCGGCCCGCGUCUGAUUAGCUAGUUGGUGAGGUAAUGGCUCACCAAGGCGACGAUCAGUAGCUGGUCUGAGAGGAUGAUCAGCCUCACUGGGACUGAGACACGGCCCAGACUCCUACGGGAGGCAGCAGUGGGGAAUAUUGGACAAUGGGCGCAAGCCUGAUCCAGCCAUGCCGCGUGGAUGAUGAAGGCCCUAGGGUUGUAAAGUCCUUUCGUUGGGGAAGAUAAUGACGGUACCCAAAGAAGAAGCCCCGGCUAACUUCGUG